CNUNGGGGGGGCAGCAGUGGGGUNUUCCGCAAUGGNCAAGUCUGACGGAGCAACGCCGGUGAGUGAGGAAGGUUUUGGGAUNGUAAAACUCUGUUGUUAGGGAAGAACACGUACUGGAGUAACUGUCAGUACCUUGGCGGUACCUAACGAGAAACCCACGGCUAAUUACGUCCCAGCAGCCGCGGUAAUACGUAGGUGGCAAGCGUUGUCCGGAAUUAUUGGGCGUAAAGGGCGCGCAGGCGGCUUUUUAAGUCUGAUGUGAAAUCUCGCAGCUCAACUGCGAGCGGUCAUUGGAAACUGGGGAGCUUGAGUACAGAAGAGGAGAGUGGAAUUCCACGUGUAGCGGUGAAAUGCGUAGAGAUGGGGAGGAACCCCAGUGGCGAAGGCGGCUCUCUGGUCUGUAACUGACGGUGAGGCGCGAAAGCGGGGGUAGCGAACAGGAUUAGAUCCCCUGGUAGUCCACCCCGUAAACGAUGAGUGCUAGGUGUUAGGGGUUUCCACCCUUAGUGCUGCAGUUAACGCAAUAANCA
This 530-nucleotide ribosomal RNA is filed under the name uncultured bacterium. Its description in RNAcentral is "bacterial SSU rRNA". It matches the Rfam family "Bacterial small subunit ribosomal RNA", at positions 338 to 866 of the family's 1533-position model. The record is from RNAcentral.